Molecule: ribosomal RNA, 253 nt
Filed under: uncultured bacterium
Lineage: Bacteria
Description: partial 16S ribosomal RNA
Rfam family: Bacterial small subunit ribosomal RNA
Source: RNAcentral
UACGAAGGGGGCGAGCGUUGUUCGGAAUUACUGGGCGUAAAGGGCGCGCAGGCGGCUCUGAAAGUCAGAUGUGAAAGCCCCGGGCUUAACCUGGGAAUUGCAUUUGAUACUCUGGAGCUUGAGUACGGGAGAGGAGAGUGGAAUUCCCAGUGUAGAGGUGAAAUUCGUAGAUAUUGGGAAGAACACCGGUGGCGAAGGCGGCUCUCUGGACCGUAACUGACGCUGAGGCGCGAAAGCGUGGGGAGCGAACAGG